GAUGAAGAACGUAGCGAAAUGCGAUACGUAAUGUGAAUUGCAGAAUUCAGUGAAUCAUCGAGUCUUUGAACGCACAUUGCGCCCCCUGGUAUUCCGGGGGGCAUGCCUGUCCGAGCGUCAUUGCUGCCCUCAAGCCCGGCGUGUGUGUUGGGUCUCGUCCCCCUUCCCGGGGGGACGGGCCCGAAAGGCAGCGGCGGCACCGCGUCCGGUCCUCGAGCGUAUGGGGCUUUGUCACCCGCUCUGUAGGCCCGGCCGGCGCUUGCCGAUCAACCAAAACUUUUUUCCAGGUUGACCUCGGAUCAGGUAGGGAUACCCGCUGAACUUAAGCAUAUCAAUAAGCGGAGGA
This 346-nucleotide unclassified non-coding RNA is filed under the name soil metagenome. Its description in RNAcentral is "partial contains 5.8S ribosomal RNA, internal transcribed spacer 2, and large subunit ribosomal RNA". The stretch from base 1 to 120 matches the Rfam family "5.8S ribosomal RNA", at positions 35 to 154 of the family's 154-position model. The record is from RNAcentral.